Molecule: ribosomal RNA, 253 nt
Filed under: uncultured bacterium
Lineage: Bacteria
Description: partial 16S ribosomal RNA
Rfam family: Bacterial small subunit ribosomal RNA
Source: RNAcentral
UACGUAGGGGGCUAGCGUUGUUCGGAUUUACUGGGCGUAAAGGGCGCGUAGGCGGCGUGACUAGUCACUUGUGAAAUCUCCGGGCUUAACUCGGAACGGUCAAGUGAUACUGUCGUGCUAGAGUGCAGAAAGGGCAAUCGGAAUUCUUGGUGUAGCGGUGAAAUGCGUAGAUAUCAAGAGGAACACCUGAGGCGAAGGCGGGUUGCUAGGCUGACACUGACGCUGAUGCGCGAAAGCCAGGGGAGCAAACGGG